GAAAAAGACACCACGACCAGACAGCGUGAACACAAGAUGAGCGUGCUUCAAGCAACAGGUAGUCAUUGGAGGACAGAGAGGAUGCAACGUCGACUAAAGAGAAGCUAAACACAUAUCACUUCCAUUAACACUGGCAUGCUGAGCUCUAAUUACUCACUCACUCAGCGUUCUGGGCUGCCCGCCGCU
This is a long non-coding RNA of Pundamilia nyererei, 186 nucleotides long. RefSeq lists it as uncharacterized. The transcript has 3 exons. The record is from RefSeq and is a predicted model, not a curated record. Lineage: Eukaryota; Metazoa; Chordata; Actinopteri; Cichliformes; Cichlidae.